ACAACAGAGAGAAAUCUACCAAGUGAUUUUUACUGGGAUCCACUAAGAGACUUUUUAACAGCCAGCUUCUAGGCCCAGAAAAAUGAAAGUUGCCUUGGGACAAAACAGGAAAACAGGAUCCAUCACCAUUCUAAACCAUCAGCUUUGUAAAGACAUCUGAGAUGAUUAUGGCACAAGAGGCACAGAGAGUAAGUGGAUCUUAGUCCAGCAGAAUGAUUCCUCCUGGGACCAGAAAAUUCUUCUCAUUCUUAAUUUUCUUUAUUUGUUUUGCUUCCUAUAAUUACUUUAAAAAUUAUAAUGUAAAAUAUUUUCAACAGACCAAAUAUGAGUAAGGAUAUCAUGAACACUCAUGUUAUGAAUAUUCUGCUUAAGAAAUGAUCAUCAAAACGAUGAAGGCCCCAGGUACCUCAUGCUGAUCACAUUCUUCUUAAUGUCCUCCCAAACUAGAAAAAGUUACUGCCCUCAGAAAGAGUUUCUUAUCCCUAAGAACUUCUUUAUAUUUAAUCAUAUAGUUAUAUCAUCCCAAAUAAUAGGCAGAAUG
This 541-nucleotide long non-coding RNA is filed under the name Homo sapiens (human). RNAcentral describes it as "HSALNT0224038". The record is from RNAcentral. Lineage: Eukaryota; Metazoa; Chordata; Mammalia; Primates; Hominidae.